Molecule: small nuclear RNA, 141 nt
Filed under: Neogale vison (American mink)
Lineage: Eukaryota; Metazoa; Chordata; Mammalia; Carnivora; Mustelidae
Description: Neovison vison (American mink) U4 spliceosomal RNA (ENSNVIG00000014067.1)
Rfam family: U4 spliceosomal RNA (bases 1-64)
Source: Rfam by way of RNAcentral
AGCUUUGCACAGUGGCAGUAUCGUAGCCAAUGAGGUUUAUCUGAGGCGCGAUUAUUGCUGAUUAUUGCUAAUUGAAGAAUGAAUGAGCAGUGCUUCCUUCACUGCAAUGUCAGGUUACGUAUCAGCUGCCACCCACAUAUG